RNAcentral lists this ribosomal RNA (490 nucleotides) under uncultured bacterium. RNAcentral describes it as "partial 16S ribosomal RNA". It matches the Rfam family "Bacterial small subunit ribosomal RNA", at positions 29 to 507 of the family's 1533-position model. The record is from RNAcentral.
AUUGAACGCUGGCGGCAGGCCUAACACAUGCAAGUCGAACGGUAACAGGAAGAAACUUGCUUCUUUGCGGACGAGAGGGGGAGGGGGGAGAAAUGUCUGUGAAACUGUCUUAUGGAGGGGGGUAUCUAGUGGAAACGGUAGCGAAUACCGCAUAACGGAGCAAGGGCAAAGAGGGGGAGCUCCUGGCACCCUGCGAUCGGAAAUGCGCAGAUGGGAUUAGCUAGUGGGGGGGGUGACGGCUCACCCAGGCGACGAUCCCUAGCUGGUCUGAGAGGAUGAGCAGCCACACUGGAACUGAGACACGGUCCAGACUCCUACGGGAGGCAGCAGUGGGGAAUAUUGCACAAUGGGCGCAAGCCUGAUGCAGCCAUGCCGCGUGUAUGAAGAAGGCCUUCGGGUUGUAAAGUACUUUCGGCGGGGAGGAAGAGAGGCAGGUUAAUACCUCGGCUCAUUGACGGUACCCGAAGAAGAAGCACCGGCUAACUCCGUG